This 1421-nucleotide ribosomal RNA is filed under the name metagenome. RNAcentral's name for it is "bacterial SSU rRNA". It matches the Rfam family "Bacterial small subunit ribosomal RNA". The record is from RNAcentral.
AGAGUUUGAUCCUGGCUCAGGAUGAACGCUGGCGGUAUGCCUAACACAUGCAAGUCGAACGGUGUCUUCGGACACAGUGGCGGACGGGUGAGUAACGCGUGAGAAUCUGCCUCUAGGUUGGGGACAACAGUUGGAAACGACUGCUAAUACCCGAUGUGCCGUAAGGUAAAAGAUUUAUUGCCUGGAGAGGAGCUCGCGUCUGAUUAGCUAGUUGGUGGGGUAAAAGCCUACCAAGGCAGCGAUCAGUAGCUGGUCUGAGAGGAUGAGCAGCCACACUGGGACUGAGACACGGCCCAGACUCCUACGGGAGGCAGCAGUGGGGAAUUUUCCGCAAUGGGCGAAAGCCUGACGGAGCAAUACCGCGUGAGGGAGGAAGGCCUUUGGGUUGUAAACCUCUUUUCUCAGGGAAGAAGAACUGACGGUACCUGAGGAAUAAGCAUCGGCUAACUCCGUGCCAGCAGCCGCGGUAAUACGGAGGAUGCAAGCGUUAUCCGGAAUCAUUGGGCGUAAAGCGUCCGCAGGUGGUUUUUCAAGUCUGCUGUUAAAGACUGGAGCUCAACUCCGGAAAGGCAGUGGAAACUGAGAAACUAGAGUUCGGUAGGGGUAGCGGGAAUUCCCAGUGUAGCGGUGAAAUGCGUAGAUAUUGGGAAGAACAUCGGUGGCGAAGGCGCGCUACUGGACCGAAACUGACACUCAGGGACGAAAGCUAGGGGAGCGAAAGGGAUUAGAUACCCCUUAGUCCGUUCUGUAAACGAUGAUUACUCGAUGAACCUUUAGGUUUGUCCAAGCGAAAGCAUUAAGUAAUCCACCUGGGGAGUACGCCCGCAAGGGUGAAACUAAAAGGAAUUGACGGGGGUCCGCACAAGCGGUGGAGUAUGUGGUUUAAUUCGUCAAUACGCGAGAAACCUUACCUGGACUAGAAUGCCCUUGACAGCCUAGGAAACUAGGUCUUCUUCGGACAAGGUGCAAGGUGCUGCAUGGUUGUCGUCAGCUCGUGCCGUGAGGUGUCGGGUUAAGUCCCUUAACGAGCGAAACCCCUGUGUUUAGUUGCCAGCACGUAAUGGUGGGGAAUCUAAACAGACUGCCUGCGUAAGCAGUGAGGAAGGUAGGGAUGAUGUCAAAUCCGCAUGGCCCUUAUGUCCAGGGCUACACACGUACUACAAUGGUGUAUACAAAGAGUUGCCAGCUGGUAACAGUGAGCUAAUCUCAUAAAGUACAUCUCAGUUCGGAUUGAGAUCUGCAACUCGAUCUCAUGAAGUUGGAAUCGCUAGUAAUCGUGUAUCAGAAUGUCACGGUGAAUACGUUCUCGGACCUUGUACACACCGCCCAUCAAGCCAUGGGAGUUGGGGGAGCUUGAAGGCAGUUUAUUAAAAAGCUGCUUAGAGUUAAAUCAGCGACUGGGGCUAAGUUGUAACAAGGUA